Non-coding RNA from Corylus avellana, 542 nucleotides. The record is from RefSeq and is a predicted model, not a curated record. NCBI's taxonomy places the organism in Eukaryota, Viridiplantae, Streptophyta, Magnoliopsida, Fagales, Betulaceae.
GUGGCAGGUUAUAUAUAAGGGAGUACUCCCAACAGAAGGUUCAUCCAUAGUUAAAUUAAGAAACCUGAUCCUGGACUACAUAUAUUUAUGAAUUAAAUAUUGAUUCAGUACUCAAACAAUACAAGCAUGCGUUUCGCAGGUGAAAUGCUGGCAAAUUAGACGGCAGUCAAAGGCUCCUCAAGCUGCUGGGGCCAUCCAUACUGAUUUUGAGAGAGGAUUCAUUUGUGCUGAGGUAAUGAAAUUUGAAGAUCUGAAGGAACUUGGUAGUGAGUGGGCUGUAAAGGCAGCCGGAAAGUAUAGACAGGAGGGGAAAACUUAUGUGGUUCAAGAUGGAGACAUUAUAUUUUUCAAGUUCAAUGUUUCUGGGGGUGGGAAGAAGUGAAAUAUUCAUUUUCACUUGGUCAUUGAAUUACUUUUAACGAAUUUGACGUUUUGUCAUUAGAUUACUUGUGAGCUUUUAUCACCAAGAGGGGAUGAAAAGAAGUAUAAAACACUUGUAUUCCGUUUUGCAGAUUGUAGAAACAUAAGUUUGUUUAAAGUUA